GCAGGAUAGAAGAUUUAUCAGUUUGGGACGAUCAUUUAAGAUCUCGAAACACAGAUCUGUUGAUCCUUUGUUUCCAUUCCCGGGAAGUUUAUUAUAUGUUACC
This is a long non-coding RNA of Bradysia coprophila, 103 nucleotides long. The record is from RefSeq and is a predicted model, not a curated record. NCBI's taxonomy places the organism in Eukaryota, Metazoa, Arthropoda, Insecta, Diptera, Sciaridae.